RNAcentral lists this long non-coding RNA (1464 nucleotides) under Spirodela polyrhiza (greater duckweed). RNAcentral describes it as "long non-coding RNA (SPOL_LNC002015)". Lineage: Eukaryota; Viridiplantae; Streptophyta; Magnoliopsida; Alismatales; Araceae. The record is from RNAcentral.
GCGUGUAGAUGUCAGCCGCCGGUGGCGGGGCCUCUGGAGAUGCCGCUUUCGCUUUCUUUUUUUUUAAUCUUCUCGCUCCCUCUGUCUUUUCUCUCUCUUUCUGCACAGAUCAGAGCUCCUGCCGCUGGUACAGCGGUGAGAGAAUCAAAAAGACGGCCGCAGGCGAGGAAAGAGGAGCUCGAUUGCCUCCGGACCCCCCCGCGUCGCGCCCCUUACCCUCCUCUUCGGCUGCUGCUGCUGCCGCUGCCGCCUCUGCCGCCGCGGGGAGCGGACUAGCCACCACCAGCUAGGCUCCCACUUCUCCCCGGCCAGAAGAAGAGACGGAAGAGGCCCGCCUCGUCCUCUUCACCUCGAGCUCUGCUACCGCUAUCACGGUCGCCGCCUCCUGCACAGGCCACACCGCCAACAGGGAAGAGGCAUCAGAAGAGCAUGAAGUCUAAAGGCAUCCGUCCCUCCACACUUCUCUCUCUCUCACUCACCCUCUGUCCACCGGUACAGGGGGGGGGGGGGGGAGAGAAAAAGGAGGAGAGCGAAAGGGAUGCUGAAACCCUAGCUCUACUUCGAAAGUCGGCGAUUGCGAUUGCGAAGAACGGGGCGGCGUGGCGAUGAGAAUUCAGGAACAAUCACCGCAAGACUGAGGCGAUUGGGAUGGUCUACUCGCACCGUCUUUCGGCGCGCGCUUUCAGAUCUGAGGAUUUCCGAGCCCUGGGAGACCGAGGACGAAACCGACGCGAGCUACGCGAGCGAGACGAGGGGAUCGAUCGAUCAUUCGCAGCUCCCGCAGCCGCAUUUAAGACCGGCACAGAAAGACGGGAGCGGAAAUACCGAGCUCCGUCCGCCUUCCUCCGCUCAGUUCUUCCUCCUCCGCGCGAGAUUCCACAGCCGCAGGAUCUACCUCGCCUCCGUCCGCUGCAGCUCGCUCAGGCGACACUCCCUCCCUGCUCCCGCCUACAGGCCGGCGAGCAGCAUUCCUCGGCCGACUGCCGGAGAAGCGCGCUCAUCCCUCCGCCCUCUCCCUCUCCGCCGCCGAGCCACGCUGCCGCAGAGUUCUCUCCCCGCGCUUUAAGCACAGUGAAGGUGAACAAGGGGAGGGAGAGGACGUCGCCGCCGCCGCCGUUGCCGCUGCGAGCUACCUGGUCGCGGAGUGGGUGUGGGGAUGGGGCCUCCCCCUUGGCGUCGUACAUUCCCCACAUUUAUCGAGACCGCGGCGCACAACGCCACCCCACCGCCGGCGAUUAAUCCUCCGUCAACUCCCGUAAAACCAUCUCCCCACAUGCUAAUGACACCCCUCUUUACACUUAACACCGUCAUUAAUUAACUAAUCUCCCACCUACCCCUCUCCCUCUUCUCUCUCUCUCUCUCUCUCUCUCUGCGCCCGAUCCCACAGAGGGAGCCGGCCCCCACCCUCCGAUCUGUCCUCCCCCACCUUUCCACGUCUGUCUGCUCUAAAUGGAACCGUCGAAA